GUCACACCCGUUCCCAUACCGAACACGGAAGUUAAGCUCUCUAGCGCCGAUGGUAGUUGGGACCUUGUCCCUGUGAGAGUAGGACGUUGCCAGGCA
This 96-nucleotide ribosomal RNA is filed under the name Bacillus cereus HuA2-1. Lineage: Bacteria; Bacillati; Bacillota; Bacilli; Caryophanales; Bacillaceae. RNAcentral also lists the same sequence under 1 other name. The record is from RNAcentral.